This 267-nucleotide ribosomal RNA is filed under the name Staphylococcus epidermidis NIHLM021. RNAcentral's name for it is "partial 23S ribosomal RNA". It matches the Rfam family "Bacterial large subunit ribosomal RNA", at positions 2656 to 2925 of the family's 2925-position model. Lineage: Bacteria; Bacillati; Bacillota; Bacilli; Caryophanales; Staphylococcaceae. The record is from RNAcentral.
GGAAAUUUGAGAGGAGCUGUCCUUAGUACGAGAGGACCGGGAUGGACAUACCUCUGGUGUACCAGUUGUCGUGCCAACGGCAUAGCUGGGUAGCUAUGUAUGGACGGGAUAAGUGCUGAAAGCAUCUAAGCAUGAAGCCCCCCUCAAGAUGAGAUUUCCCAACUUCGGUUAUAAGAUCCCUAGAAGAUGACGAGGUUAAUAGGUUCGAGGUGGAAGCGUGGUGACACGUGGAGCUGACGAAUACUAAUCGAUCGAAGACUUAAUCAA